AUGCCGCCAGAUCGGGAGAUUGAGUUUUUGAUUGAGUUGCUACCAGGUACAGGACCUAUCUCCAAGAGGCCGUAUCGGAUGCCCGCUAAUGAUUUGGAGGAAGUCAAGAAACAGAUUAAGGAGUUGCUAGAGAAAGGGUAUAUUCGCCCGAGUUCAUCACCUUGGGGAGCCCCAGUACUCUUAGUAGAGAAGAAGGAUGGAACCUUGAGGAUGUGUGUGGAUUACCGCUCUUUGAACGAGGUGACCAUCAAGAACAAGUAUCCCUUACCGAUGAUCAAUGACUUGUUUGACCAGCUAGAAGGAGCUAGUGUUUUCUCCAAGAUCGAUCUUCGAUCGGGUUAUCACCAAUUGAAGAUCCGUGAGAAGGAUAUACCCAAGACAGCUUUUACUACAAGGUAUGGGCUUUAUGAGUAUACAGUCAUGUCCUUUGGUUUGACUAAUGCCCCUGCCUAUUUUAUGAGCAUGAUGAACAAGGUGUUCAUGGAGUUCUUGGAUAAGUUCGUUGUGGUAUUCAUUGAUGACAUAUUGGUUUUCUCCAAGAAUGAGGAGGAACACACUGAACAUCUGCGCUUGGUUCUGGAGAAGCUCAGAGAACAUCAACUUUAUGCCAAGUUCAGCAAGUGUGAGUUUUGGCUCAAGGAAGUCGGAUUCCUUGGACAUGUUGUGUCAGGUGAAGGGAUUGCAGUGGACCCUACCAAGGUAGAGUCAGUCACAGAAUGGAAUGCACCCACCAUAGUUGGCGAGAUUCGCAGUUUCCUUGGACUUGCAGGAUAUUACCGGAGAUUUAUUGAAAAUUUCUCUAAGAUUGCAAGGCCCAUGACAAAGUUGUUGAAGAAGGACACCAAGUUCGUUUGGACUGAAGAGUGUGAAGCCAGCUUUCAAGAGUUGAAGAAGCAUUUGGUUACAGCCCCAGUGCUAAUCCUACCUGAUGUACACAAGGACUUUCAGGUGUAUUGUGAUGCUUCACGUCAGGGACUUGGAGGUGUCCUUAUGCAGGAGGGAAAAGUUGUAGCUUAUGCUUCACGACAACUU
This 1032-nucleotide ribosomal RNA is filed under the name Triticum aestivum (bread wheat). RNAcentral describes it as "partial small subunit ribosomal RNA". The record is from RNAcentral. Lineage: Eukaryota; Viridiplantae; Streptophyta; Magnoliopsida; Poales; Poaceae.